This 395-nucleotide long non-coding RNA is filed under the name Glycine max (soybean). RNAcentral describes it as "long non-coding RNA (GMAX_LNC004186)". The record is from RNAcentral. Lineage: Eukaryota; Viridiplantae; Streptophyta; Magnoliopsida; Fabales; Fabaceae.
AUGUCCAAGUAAUUAUAUUCUCUCACAAUCUGGGUCUUAAAAAAUCAACACAAAAAUUGCACCUUUACCAAUACCGAACCAAACUAGUGGAUCAACCACACGCCGCCUUGCAAAACCAAACCAACCUAGGAUCGAAAAACCUAGAAAAAAGCAUCAAACCCAGAGAUGCACACAAAGUAUUUUGAAAAACAUCCAUUUCCACAAUGUCUUCAGAUUCGCCACUAGAGUCAGCAAUUCUUCAAAUUUGAGAUCCUUAAAACUCACAGAUCUAAAAUCAUCCACCUCGCGCUACUACUGUCGUGAUGGGUUAGUCGCAUUUGAGUCGCCCUACCACCGCCAUAGAUGGGUCGUUGACCUCACCACUUAUGGUCUUCUGUGAUGUUGUGAGAUCUCAC